AUGAUCGUUGACCUGAAAAGUUUCUCGUUCGAUCAUGUGACACUGAACAUCUGCUGCUCGCUCGACCUGAUCCACAGUACAGCAUCCAUCUGUAGAGGAGACACAACACAUCAGUGCAUUACACACACACACACACACACACACACACACACACACACACACACACAUCACUGCAUCAGUGCAUUACACACACACACACACACACAUCACUGCAUCAGUGCAUUACACACACACACACAUCACUGCAUCAGUGCAUUACACACACACACACACACACACACACACACACACACAUCACUGCAUCAGUGCAUUACACACACACACACACACACACACACACACACACACAUCACUGCAUCAGUGCAUUACACACAUACACACACACACAUCACUGCAUCAGUGCAUUACACACACACACACACACACACACACACACACACACACACACACACAUCACUGCAUCAGUGCAUUACACACACACACACACACACACACACACACACACACACACACACACACAUCACUGCAUCAGUGCAUUACACACACACACACACACACACACACACACACACACACACAUCACUGCAUCAGUGCAUUACACACACACACACACACACACACACACACACACAUCACUGCAUCAGUGCAUUACACACAUACACACACACACAUCACUGCAUCAGUGCAUUACACACACACACACACACACACACACACACACACACACACACACACAUCACUGCAUCAGUGCAUUACACACACACACACACACACACACACACACACACACACACACACACACAUCACUGCAUCAGUGCAUUACACACACACACACACACACACACACACACACACACACACAUCACUGCAUCAGUGCAUUACACACACACAUCACUGCAUCAGUGCAUUACACACACACACACACACACACACACACACACACACACACACACACAUCACUGCAUCAGUGCAUUACACACACACAUCACUGCAUCAGUGCAUUACACACACACACACACACACACACACACACACACACACACACACACACACACACACACACACACACACACACACAUCACUGCAUCAGUGCAUUACACACACACACACACACACACACACACACACAUCACUGCAUCAGUGCAGUACACACACACACACACACACACACAUCACUGCAUCAGUGCAUUACACACAUACACACACACACAUCACUGCAUCAGUGCAUUACACACACACACACACACACACACACACACACACACACACAUCACUGCAUCAGUGCAUUACACACACACACACACACACACACACACACACACACACACACAUAACUGCAUCAGUGCAUUACACACACACACACACACACACACACACACACACACACACACACACACACACACACACACACACACACACACACACACACACAUCACUGCAUCAGUGCAUUACAUACACACACACACACACACACACACACACAUCACUGCAUCAGUGCAGUACACACACACACACACACACACACACACAUCACUGCAUCAGUGCAUUACACACAUACACACACACACAUCACUGCAUCAGUGCAUUACACACACACACACACACACACACACACACACACACACACACAUCACUGCAUCAGUGCAUUACACACACACACACACACACACACACACACACACACACACACAUCACUGCAUCAGUGCAUUACACACACACACACACACACACACACACACACACACACACACACACACACACAUCACUGCAUCAGUGCAUUACACACACACACACACACACACACACACACACACACACACACACACACACACAUCAGUGCAUCAGUGCAGUACACACACACACACACACACACACACACACACACACACACACACAUCAGUGCAUCAGUGCAGUACACACACACACACAUCAGUGCAUUACAGACACUCACACACACAUCACUGCAUUAACUACAGCAUGUCUUCUCAUAAAUAA
This is a long non-coding RNA of Carassius auratus (goldfish), 1995 nucleotides long. The record is from Ensembl. Lineage: Eukaryota; Metazoa; Chordata; Actinopteri; Cypriniformes; Cyprinidae.